UUGAUUUUUUUGUUUGUUUUUCAGACAGUUACUGUAUUUACAAAGAGUUUAAAGGGUCCCCAAUAGCAGGCAGGCCUGCUGAGGAAACAAAUGGUGCUCCAAAAAAUAGGCAAGGACGCUAUCUCGACAGGACCGAAGCCCUACGAUAAUGAUCCUUCCGCAGGUUCACCUACGGAAA
This 178-nucleotide unclassified non-coding RNA is filed under the name uncultured fungus. RNAcentral's name for it is "sequence contains ITS1". Lineage: Eukaryota; Fungi. The record is from RNAcentral.